AUUUUGGCGACACGGGUUCCAACCCGGCCUCCGAGAAAUUUUAUUUUACAUUUUGGUACCUUUUUUACAAUUAUGAUAUCAAAGCGUAGCACAUUCUAUUAAAUAAUUGUCCUGAGAUUCGUUACAGAGAAAUAUUUUUUGCUGCAAUCAGGUGUACAGUCCCUUUAAAUGACUAUUUCACAAUUGAAUAGUAUAUUAUUGUGUUCAUGUUCUUUCUUUUCUAUAAGGAACAUAAACAUGUGUUUUAGACGAACCACGAACACCAUCGAAAUAAUUCUCUUUUCUUACAUGUGAAUCUUUACAUCGACACCGGCUGGUAUGAAUAAACGCCGUUCCCGAACAGUACCGGACCCGUACGCAGAUACAGACCUCGAACCCCGUUGGCCCGAGCUCGAUUGUGUCGAACUCCUCGUUGGCUCGAACUAGUUGUAAAGGACCCAUCUAUUUACACUGAAGUUUGUGCAGUAAAGCGGUACCUUGUGACAGGUCGUUACGUAUAAAAGACCUAACCUGGAUGCCUAAAAGCGCACACCUGUCAAUUAACAAGGACUGGAUUGGAAACUUUACAACCUUGACGAUCAAAGGCAGAUAACCUGUUCGUUAGACCGCAGCUGAAAUGGAAUCGACUACAGAAAAAAUGUUGAAUAAUCGUAGCAAAGACACUCGAAUUCCUUCAGGCGCUGUUCAGCAAAGGGCUAGAGAACAAGCGUUUAAACAUCACGAGGAAAGACAAAAGUGGUCAGGCCUUGUUCAAGAAAUGUCGACGGACAAAACUGGGAACGGGCGAAUAACAAUAAUUGGAUCGGGUAUAAAGAGUGUUGGCCACCUCACCCUGGAAGCCGUUGGUUUCAUCAAAUCAUGCAAAAAAGUGUUCUAUUUGGUGGCUGAUCAUGUCACCGCGAUCUAUAUUAAAGAGAUGCGACCAGACGCAAUGGAUUUUUCGUUCUGUAUGACGAUGACAAGGAUAGGUACGAGACGUACGUCCAGAUGUCGGAAGCGAUACUUCAAGAGGCUAGAAAAGGUGUACAUGUAGCGGCCGUAUUCUACGGUCAUUCGGGAAUAUUUUGUCUUCCUUCUCACCGAAUUCUGCAGAUUGCAAAGCGAGAGGGUAUACCAGCCAAACUUUUGGCGGCACCCUCUGCUGUGGAUUGCUUAUUCGCUGAUCUUCAGAUCGACCCGGCCUUUCCCGGAUGUCAGUCGUUUGAAGCGACCGACUUGCUGCUACGGAAACGGAAACUUUUCACGUAUAUUCACACGGUCCUUUGGCAAGUUGGGUGCGUCGGAAAGACCUAUUUUCAGUAUAAAGGUUUCGACAACGAUAAAUUGCAUGUUUUGAUCGAGUUCCUUCAAGACAUCUACGGAAGAGAUUAUGAGAUCGUUCACUACAUCGGGCCGCACUAUGCGGUUUGCGACCCAGUCAUUGAGACGCUCAAACUGAGCGAAUUGAAGAUUGAGGAGGUCAAGAAAAAAAUCAAAUCCUGUUCGACCUUUUCAUUCCACCAAGGGACGGCGCAAAGAUUAAUGAAAACAUGGCGAAAGAAUUAGGCUUUCCAUGGGUAGAUGCAAACAGAGGCUACAGGAAGGCAUCGAAAUAUAUUUCGGCUUACGACCUGAAAGAAAGAAAAACAUUAGCAGCGCUAAAGGAUUGGAGUUUCCCGACCAACUACUCUGUUGUCGUACCGACAAACAUGUCCAGGAAAUUGAUUCGGCUGAGUUUGAAUCCCGAUGAAGAUAAGUCGUCCCAUCUAACCGAGAAUGAGAGAGAAGUAGUUAAAAGUGGGGCCAGCGUAGCGAUAAAAAUAUGCUCGGUCAAACUAUGAUCUUUGAUGACCCUGUUCUCGUUGUUGUGGUUGUUGUGGUUUGAAUAUUACUGUAGACAGCUAAACAUGCCGGAGGUGCUUUAAACUUUUGUCUUAUUAUAAUAAAAAUGUAGAUUACUUUACAAUACAUUUCAUCCUUUCAAUUUAGUGACAGAAACCAUCCGUGAUUACGAGUUUAUGACAAGCAAAAUGCACUGUUAAUAGAAGACCGUUAUAAACAUUUACUUUUAAUUUAAAAAAAAAUACCGAAUGCUAAAAUAUUAUAAGUAAAAAAACUAGCAAUAAAAUUACUAAAUGCUUAAGCAGAUAGGUAAUUCAGCAGACCACUGGACACAAGUUUUCAUAAAAGUCUCGUGAUUAUAUGCUUCGUAAAAAGAUCUAAAGUAAAAAAAAAAGAUUGACCUCUCGGCAUAACGCAAUCUUCAGUAUUUAAUGACGCGGACUGAUUAAUCGACCUGUAAGAUUGCUUCACGCUAUAUAGGAGGUUUUUUGUAAGAAUUAUUUCCGGACGUUUGACUAUUGCAUAUGUUUGCAUAACAUUUUAUUAUUUACACAACAUGAAUCUAAAGUUAUUGUGUGCAACAACAAAUAGAAACGGUCUUAUUUACAUCAAAGUUGUAGACAAAAGGUCAACUCAUAACAACGCUAUCUAUAUACGGUUAAGACAACAACAAAACACGUACAAAAGAGUGGUUGUAUAUAAAAACCACUGAUAACAAAUGAAUAUUUUGUAGGAUUUUAUUGAGAUAAAUUGAUUAUUUUAAGAUAUUUUACUUCUGCUGUAAAUUUUUAUUGUCAUUUUUUUUAUAUUAAUUACCGCUUAUGUCGUAAUUAAAAUUUCAGUGUUUUAAAAAUUAAAUGUUAUUAUGUAAUGUACACCAUAUUAUUUUAUGUUCACCAUUACAUUAUAAUUAGAUUUGAGUUGAAACAAAAUGAUUAUUAAACCAUUACAAUUUGAUAUUUUGAGCUCUGAAGCUAGAAAGCAAUAUGCGUUUAGUAAAGGUAUUGAAAUAUGUUUCCAAUUUGUUUUUCAAGUUAUAUAUCAGUAAUACCGCGUUUAAUUAAUUCAUCUCUUGAAUUAAUAAAAACAAAUUUGUGGCAAAUCAAUUGUUGUUAAAAACUAAGAAAUACAAGGAAUACUUGAUUAAAACUUAGAUUACAUUAUGUUUAACACAAAUAUGUUUUAAAACAGUUGAAUCUUUUAUCUAUUUGUAUUGAAACUAAUGCAAUAUGUUUCCAUUUUGCUUCUUAGUUCUACAUCAGUAAUAUCGCUUUUCAUUAUAUGAUAUUUUUUAAUUUUUUGAAAACAAAUUAGAUUAAUGGGAUUUUUUUUGUUAAAUUAAGAAAUGCAAGGAAACCCGUAUUACAACUUAGAUUACAAUAUGUUUAAAACAAAUAUAUGACGUAUUUCAGUUCUGUAGCUCGUUAUCACAUUGUGUUUUCGUUAAAGUAAUGGUUAAAUGUUGUUAGUAUGAACUUACAAAAAUAAAUCGUUUGAUGCGACGCAAUCGAAUGACCAUUUUUUUGUAAGUACAUACUAACAAAAACAAUUUGAGGUCAACUUUUUUUUGUGUCAACUGCACACUAAGUGAGCGAACCACUCUUCAUAUCUACCGCUUCACAUGAUUGAAAUUACUAACGGCUGAAGGCUGAUUUACAGAAAUAAAUGAAUUAAAGAACUUGAGAAAUACUGCAUUUUCAUUAGACAAAAUAAAAUGUUGACCACUUAUUGCUGUGCCAUAUUUCAGUUUUUGUAUCACAUAGUUGUUGCGUGUAAGUAUUUGUUAAAAGUAAAUACAAACUCAUAACCCUUGAACUAGCUUAUUGGUCGCGAUUAUAGUUUGUAUGGUGGCCCAGCCUCUGUUUAAAUCUACCGAAUUACCUAUUAUCAAUAACGGCUGUAAUUUAACGGUAUAACACCGCUGGCUUUUUUUGUAACUAAGGUUCUGAUCCUCAAAAGUGUAGAAUAUAAAAGAAUCACACUGAUCGUCCAAAAUAUCAUAACUUUAGAUAAAGCUAUCAUGUACGUUCGAUUUAAUAUUUGUAUACACUGUUCUUUCAUUUUAUAUUAUAUGCCGCGUGAUUAAAGUUCUAAUUUUGAUGAAACUGCUUGCAAAUAUAUC
Molecule: long non-coding RNA, 3943 nt
Organism: Mya arenaria
Lineage: Eukaryota; Metazoa; Mollusca; Bivalvia; Myida; Myidae
Exons: 6
Source: RefSeq, a predicted model, not a curated record